GGCGCCCUCAGAGCGGAGCCCGUCCCGCGCGGCUGCGGGAUGCGUGUGGUGCCAAGGGCCCGUGCUCUGGCCGUAGCGGGAAGGGAAGGGUUAAGCUGCUUGCAGCCGUGUUAAAUAUAUAUAUAUAUGUAUAAAUACAGAAAUAUUUCAGCUUAGCCCUCUCGGACCGCACUUGGCGGGAACAUUUCUUCGCACGUAUCUCUAUAAAGCGCCGUGCAGGCCGCUUGUACAAUCCCGUGCCUUCAGAUGCCCGUUAGAAACCACCGCCCGGCCCUGCACAGGGGACGGAUCUCACGUCCAGAGCUUCCUACAGUAUGAAGGCCCUCGCCGUGAAAUAAAUAAGUCUGCGUGAGGCAAACGUGUGCGGAGAGCCCUAAUCAGUCAGAUUGCACACGUAUUCCUUCCUGCUAGACGCUGCUGGCCAAGCACGAGCUCUAAAGAACCUCGUAAUUGCUUGGAGACCAUUGCUGGGAGCAUAGGGGCCUCUCAGGAAGUCGAUUUUCUUUUGUUUGAUUCAAGAAAAACAUUCUGAGCUGCUAAAAAAUACAAUCUCCUCCUAAAAUGAAGCACAAAUUGCCAUGAAAUUGGGGAAAAAGAAGGGGGAAAAAAAAAAAAAAAAGUAGCAGCAACAGAAGCAUACGCUUCCAGACUUCGGAACAAUGACUGCUGAAUUCUCUUCUCUUUAUUCUCCUGAUUGUUUUAUGAAGAAAUCGAACGUAGAAAGAAAAAAAAAAUGAAAUUAAGGCUCUUUUAUGGCCAGUGAAUGGAGGCAGUGAUUGUUCGUGCUAUGAACAACUCCACGCUGUGUAGCGUAGAUGCUGUGAGCUGUACAGCAGCCAGCCAGUCGCGGGAGAGCAGACCUUUUUCCAUGCCAGAGGGGAUCUGUUUCCUCACUGCUGGCAGCACAGGGAAGUGAAAUGAGUGAAAGAGGAUCUGGCACACGGACAGUUCAGCUGUAAAGCCUGAGUCAUAGGCUUGCAAUCAGAGAACAAACCAAGCAGAUAAGGAGCACAGUGAGUGCCCGCACAGCAGGCAGGGUCCGCUUGUACUUCAGCUGUGUGCAGAAGAGGUGCUGCUGUCCUCAUGCAUAGCAAGGCAGUAAGGAAGGUGGGUACCUUUGGCUACGUGUUCUGUUCCACAGGUGCAAAAAACUGCUCCAGCCCCACCAGCUUUCAACUGGGGACUCCAAACUUUUCACAGAAAGAAUACCGUCCAUAAAAAGGUGCCGCCUGCUGCUCCUGCAAAGACCCAUUCGUGCCCAUCUGAGCAGCACGCCAUAGAAAAUUCACCAUUUGCACAUGUGCACGACAGUUGCUCAUUAUUUCUGAAAGUUCAUACUUCUGCUGUGCUGGUUCGCGUAUACUGCCGGCCCCACUGAGCCCCCCACAUAGUUUCCUAGCAACUAGAUAGAAAUAUAACUCUGAGCUUGGCACCAGCAGAGCAGAUUCUGCCGCUGCUUUCCCCCAGGCACACACUGCGGUCUGGGAUAGAAUGCACUGGGCAAAGAGAUCAGGGCAGCGCAGGCCAGGAGUCUCCCAGGGGCUGGCAUUAGUCAUUCCUCACACUUCCACACGAAGCCUGGGGUUCCCGCUCCCCGAGGUGGGGACACGUGCUGCUCAGUCCUGCCUUACCCGUGCAUGUUAAGCAAGGGGGAAGUCAUGGAGAUGCCACAAAACCUGAUCUAAAGUCCUUGUCCCACGACAAUCUGUAACAAAGCUGUUACUGACUGCAGCAGGCAAGAGUUUUUGCCUUGGAUAAUACAGCAACACAGGUUUCAGCUGCUAGAUUAUAGUGAGAGGAAAUGUGGCAUGCACAGUUUUAGUCAAUAGCGAGUCCACUUUUCCUUGUCUAGAGAACAGCUGGAGAGUCCCGAUGCACACCGCCCUUUUCUGCCUCGCUCACAGUCUGCCCUUAUGCACUUCUAUUUGUUUAAUCCUCUGUUGAAGUAUUUCAGGAGCACAAUCACUGCUCUGCCGCACCACCACAUCAUCACCAGAACAAAUUAAGAAGAAGAAGGUUAGGAGAUUAUAAACCGGAGAUUUAAAAAAGUAGAAAGUCUCUUCAAGGCUGCCUUCGGCUCUUCAACUGUCUUUAGUAAUACAGUACAGGAAAGUAUUACUUCUUCCCCCAGAUCCUUGCCUCACUCAGUACACAAGAUUGCUGAGGAACUGUAACAUCAUUGUUUUUAAUAGGAAAAAAAAAAAAAAAAGUAGCUGAGACUUAAUGGUAGCAUUUAAAUGGCAUACAGAGCCUUUUGAGUUCACACCUCAUUAAGGUGCACAGGAAGGGAAGGGGUGCACAUCUUUGUUGUUACUUUUGCCUCGCAGCAUUUUCAGCCAUGCUAUGUGAACAGAGCAGCAGCACAUUAACUGACUUUGUAACAGCUGUAUUUUUGUAGCAGAUUUUUUUUUUUUUUUUUUUUUUUUGAGUUUAGAAAUUGCAGAACAUUGUGAAAUGAAGCCAGGGCAGGCCCUUGGAGGACAAUUAUUCUGGUUUCUUAUUUUUUUGCAAACCAAUCUACCAGAUCUAAGUCUCCUUCCUGCUCCAGUUAGAGGUCUCUUUCUACUGAACUUGCCAAAUCUCUCCUGUUUAUGAGAUCGUCCUAGAGCUCCCAAAUUGAUGUGGCAAAGUACUUCCUGCUGUGGAAACAGACGUGCAUACAUGUGCUUGCCAAGCCCACGUGUGAAAGUGUACCUGAAUAGCUACAUAUAACCUGUACUCAUGUAACAGACUCUUUAAUCAUCUUACAGUUAACAUAGGUGAUGAUUGGAUUUGGUCCUGGGAUAGUUUUGGUGCUAGGAUUUCUGACCUCAUCUUCUAAGGCCAUUAGCACUCCUUGGUUACAGGGUGUGUUCCAAAGCAGUCAGAGGAAGAACUUCUCUGUUCCUCCCGAACUCCUAUGAGAAAGCACUUUUAUCCCACUGACUUACGUGACGGAAGCAGCUCCAGCUCCCCACUUUCAUUUCUGCCCUAUCCUCUUGGGUCAGCCUGGACCCGGAUCAACCACACAUGAAUGUGGAGUUAAGCAUUACUGCAACAGGAUGCAGCGGAGAUUAAGGAAAGCAGCAAAGGUUGUUUUCGUGUGGACACCUUACUGUCACAUGAGGAUUUCAAGGAAAAAUAAAACAUGGAGGAGAGCUUAUCUGUGCUGAUAGGUACUAAUGUGGACUGGCAGACACCUGUUGCAUGCUGAAGAUCUCUGGGCUCUCUACAUUCACACCAGAAUGACACCUUGUCCAGAAGAAAGCUACUGUCUCAGCAUAUAGUCUUGGGACAUUCAGAAUUUCUGCAUGAACAAAGAAGUAUGCAUGAAACUUUACCAGAAACAUUCCCUGACCGUUGUCUCCAGGAUCUGCUCACAAGGGUAGAAACCCCAGCUCAGAGUGGAUGAUUUUAUGCCUGGCAGCAUUUUCUGCCAGAUUUCUAUAGGUCUGUGUUGUUCUGCUGUCAGCAAGACAGUGGAGGAUCUUAAGGUAGCAGAGAUUCUUAACAUGAUUUAUGCCCUUGUUCUUACUGCUUACGUGCUUAAAAUAACAGCUAAUAUUUGAGAUAAUUGACUUUACAUGCUUCUCUGCAGUAUUGGCAAUUGUGGAUACUGCACUUUACCUAACACGGAGAAAACCUGUCUAUCUCAGCCUGAAAGACAACACAGACUUCCAUAACACAGAGAGGAAAGAUGACCAGCAUGAUGUCCUAGAGGUGACAGUUACCAGCUUGA
Gallus gallus (chicken) is the source of this 3718-nucleotide long non-coding RNA. RefSeq lists it as uncharacterized. The transcript has 2 exons. NCBI's taxonomy places the organism in Eukaryota, Metazoa, Chordata, Aves, Galliformes, Phasianidae. The record is from RefSeq and is a predicted model, not a curated record.